RNAcentral lists this ribosomal RNA (497 nucleotides) under uncultured bacterium. RNAcentral's name for it is "partial 16S ribosomal RNA". It matches the Rfam family "Bacterial small subunit ribosomal RNA", at positions 28 to 507 of the family's 1533-position model. The record is from RNAcentral.
GAUGAACGCUGGCGGCGUGCCUAAUACAUGCAAGUCGAGCGAACAGACGAGGAGCUUGCUCCUCUGACGUUAGCGGCGGACGGGUGAGUAACACGUGGAUAACCUACCUAUAAGACUGGGAUAACUUCGGGAAACCGGAGCUAAUACCGGAUAAUAUAUUGAACCGCAUGGUUCAAUAGUGAAAGACGGUUUUGCUGUCACUUAUAGAUGGAUCCGCGCCGCAUUAGCUAGUUGGUAAGGUAACGGCUUACCAAGGCAACGAUGCGUAGCCGACCUGAGAGGGUGAUCGGCCACACUGUAACUGAGACACGGUCCAGACUCCUACGGGGGGCAGCAGUAGGGAAUCUUCCGCAAUGGACGAGAGCUUGACGUAGCAACGCCGCGUGAGUGAUGAAGGUCUUCGGAUCGUAAAACGCUGUUAUUAGUGAAGAACAAAUGUGUAAGUAACUAUGCACGUCUUGACGGUACCUAAUCAGAAAGCCACGGCUAACUACGUG